RNAcentral lists this ribosomal RNA (254 nucleotides) under uncultured bacterium. RNAcentral describes it as "partial 16S ribosomal RNA". It matches the Rfam family "Bacterial small subunit ribosomal RNA", at positions 524 to 776 of the family's 1533-position model. The record is from RNAcentral.
UACGGGGGGGGCAAGCGUUGUUCGGAAUUACUGGGCGUAAAGGGCUCGUAGGCGGCCAACUAAGUCAGACGUGAAAUCCCUCGGCUUAACCGGGGAACUGCAUCUGAUACUGGAUGGCUUGAGUUCGGGAGAGGGAUGUGGAAUUCCAGGUGUAGCGGUGAAAUGCGUAGAUAUCUGGAGGAACACCGGUGGCGAAGGCGGCAUCCUGGACCAACACUGACGCUGAGUGAGCGAAAGCCAGGGGAGCAAACGGG